CGGCGGCCGUAACUAUAACGGUCCUAAGGUAGCGAAAUUCCUUGUCGGGUAAGUUCCGACCUGCACGAAUGGCAUAACGAUGGCCACACUGUCUCCUCCCGAGACUCAGUGAAGUUGAAAUGUUUGUGAUGAUGCAAUCUACCCGCGGCUAGACGGAAAGACCCCAUGAACCUUUACUGCAGCUUUGCAUUGAACUGUGAACCGAUUUGUGUAGGAUAGGUGGGAGGCAGAGAAGAGGCCACGCCAGUGGUCUUGGAGCCGACCUUGAAAUACCACCCUGAUUUGUUUGCGGUUCUAACCACGGACAGUGAUCCUGUCUUGGGACCGUGCAUGGUAGGCAGUUUGACUGGGGCGGUCUCCUCCUAAAGGGUAACGGAGGAGUACGAAGGUACGCUAGGUACGGUCGGAAAUCGUGCUGAUAGUGCAAUGGCAAAAGCGUGCUUGACUGCGAGAGCAACAACUCGAGCAGAUGCGAAAGCAGGUCAUAGUGAUCCGGUGGCUCUGAAUGGAAGGGCCAUCGCUCAACGGAUAAAAGGUACUCUGGGGAUAACAGGCUGAUACCGCCCAAGAGUUCAUAUCGACGGCGGUGUUUGGCACCUCGAUGUCGGCUCAUCUCAUCCUGGGGCUGUAGUCGGUCCCAAGGGUAUGGCUGUUCGCCAUUUAAAGAGGUACGUGAGCUGGGUUUAAAACGUCGUGAGACAGUUUGGUCCCUAUCUGCCGUGGGCGUUGGAAGAUUGACGGGGGCUGCUCCUAGUACGAGAGGACCGGAGUGGACGCACCUCUGGUGUACCGGUUGUCACGCCAGUGGCAUUGCCGGGUAGCUAAGUGCGGAAGAGAUAACCGCUGAAAGCAUCUAAGCGGGAAACUUGCCUGAAGAUGAGUCUUCCCGGAGGUAAAACCUCCCUCAAGAGUCGUCCGAGACCAGGACGUCGAUAGGUCAGGUGUGUAAGCGCUGCGAGGCGUUGAGCUAACUGAUACUAAUUGCUCGUGAGGCUUGAUCCU
RNAcentral lists this ribosomal RNA (1002 nucleotides) under human gut metagenome. RNAcentral describes it as "bacterial LSU rRNA". It matches the Rfam family "Bacterial large subunit ribosomal RNA", at positions 1928 to 2925 of the family's 2925-position model. The record is from RNAcentral.